Molecule: unclassified non-coding RNA, 327 nt
Filed under: soil metagenome
Description: partial contains 5.8S ribosomal RNA, internal transcribed spacer 2, and large subunit ribosomal RNA
Rfam family: 5.8S ribosomal RNA (bases 1-118)
Source: RNAcentral
GAUGAAACGUAGCGAAAUGCGAUAAGUAAUGUGAAUUGCAGAAUUCAGUGAAUCAUCGAAUCUUUGAACGCACAUUGCGCCCCCUGGUAUUCCGGGGGGCAUGCCUGUCCGAGCGUCAUUACAACCCUCAAGCUCAGCUUGGUGUUGGGCCCCGCCGCCCCGGCGGGCCCUAAAGUCAGUGGCGGUGCCGUCCGGCUCCGAGCGUAGUAAUUCUUCUCGCUCUGGAGGUCCGGUCGUGUGCUCGCCAGCAACCCCCAAUUUUUUUCAGGUUGACCUCGGAUCAGGUAGGGAUACCCGCUGAACUUAAGCAUAUCAAUAAGCGGAGGA